This 74-nucleotide transfer RNA is filed under the name bacterium. Its description in RNAcentral is "tRNA-Trp". It matches the Rfam family "tRNA". Rfam says of the family: Transfer RNA (tRNA) molecules are approximately 80 nucleotides in length. Their secondary structure includes four short double-helical elements and three loops (D, anti-codon, and T loops). Further hydrogen bonds mediate the characteristic L-shaped molecular structure. tRNAs have two regions of fundamental functional importance: the anti-codon, which is responsible for specific mRNA codon recognition, and the 3' end, to which the tRNAs corresponding amino acid is attached (by aminoacyl-tRNA synthetases). tRNAs cope with the degeneracy of the genetic code in two manners: having more than one tRNA (with a specific anti-codon) for a particular amino acid; and 'wobble' base-pairing, i.e. permitting non-standard base-pairing at the 3rd anti-codon position. RNAcentral also lists the same sequence under 2 other names. The record is from RNAcentral.
AGGUGAGUAGCUCAACUGGCUAGAGCAUCGGUCUCCAAAACCGAAGGUUGCGGGUUCGAGUCCUGCCUCACCUG